RNAcentral lists this ribosomal RNA (497 nucleotides) under uncultured bacterium. RNAcentral describes it as "partial 16S ribosomal RNA". It matches the Rfam family "Bacterial small subunit ribosomal RNA", at positions 28 to 507 of the family's 1533-position model. The record is from RNAcentral.
GACGAACGCUGGCGGCGUGCCUAAUACAUGCAAGUUGAGCGCUGAAGGUUGGUACUUGUACCAACUGGAUGAGCAGCGAACGGGUGAGUAACGCGUGGGGAAUCUGCCUUUGAGCGGGGGACAACAUUUGGAAACGAAUGCUAAUACCGCAUAAAAACUUUAAACACAAGUUUUAAGUUUGAAAGAUGCAAUUGCAUCACUCAAAGAUGAUCCCGCGUUGUAUUAGCUAGUUGGUGAGGUAAAGGCUCACCAAGGCGAUGAUACAUAGCCGACCUGAGAGGGUGAUCGGCCGAAUUGGGACUGAGACACGGCCCAAACUCCUACGGGAGGCAGCAGUAGGGAAUCUUCGGCAAUGGACGAAAGUCUGACCGAGCAACGCCGCGUGAGUGAAGAAGGUUUUCGGAUCGUAAAACUCUGUUGGUAGAGAAGAACGUUGGUGAGAGUGGAAAGCUCAUCAAGUGACGGUAACUACCCAGAAAGGGACGGCUAACUACGUG